CCAUCUAGUCGAGAUUCAUGAUAGAGAGACUGAAUCACAUGUUAACUAUAUCUUGAGAUUCUUUUUUAGUUCUAUUAGAUUAUCAUUAUAUACUGCUAAGUAUCAUUGAUGGAUUAUGAGAGCUCACUAGGGUUGCUCGAGUUGACAAUUCUUGAUGAGUUAGAGUGAAAUUGUUCUAAUCCAUUGAAAAGAGUUUCGAUGAUACUUUGAUAGAGAUCAUUGUAUAUCUC
Molecule: long non-coding RNA, 230 nt
Filed under: Elaeis guineensis (African oil palm)
Lineage: Eukaryota; Viridiplantae; Streptophyta; Magnoliopsida; Arecales; Arecaceae
Description: long non-coding RNA (EGUI_LNC046598)
Source: RNAcentral